CCUACGGGAGGCAGCAGUGAGGAAUAUUGGUCAAUGGCCGGAAGGCUGAACCAGCCAUGCCGCGUGAAGGUCAGUGCCCUAUGGGCGUUAAACUUCUUUUGUGCGGGAGCAAUAAUGGUCACGUGUGGCCAGACGAGAGUACCGUACGAAUAAGCAUCGGCUAACUCCGUUCCAGCAGCCGCGGUAAUACGGGAGGUGCAAGCGUUAUCCGGAUUUAUUGGGUUGAAAGGGUGCGUAGGCUGUGAGGUAAGUCAGCGGUGAAAUGCCCCCGGUCAACGGGGUGAAGUGCCAUUGAUACUGCCUUGCUUGAAUGCGGAUGCCGUGGGAGGAAUGUGUGGUGUAGCGGUGAAAUGCAUAGAUAUCACACAGAACACCGAUUGCGAAGGCAUCUCACGAAUCCGCGAUUGACGCUGAUGCACGAAAGCGUGGGUAUCAAACAGGAUUAGAUACCCCAGUAGUC
Molecule: ribosomal RNA, 460 nt
Filed under: uncultured bacterium
Lineage: Bacteria
Description: partial 16S ribosomal RNA
Rfam family: Bacterial small subunit ribosomal RNA
Source: RNAcentral